Molecule: RNA transcript, 1054 nt
Organism: Phyllostomus discolor (pale spear-nosed bat)
Lineage: Eukaryota; Metazoa; Chordata; Mammalia; Chiroptera; Phyllostomidae
Gene name: submaxillary mucin-like protein
Exons: 7
Source: RefSeq, a predicted model, not a curated record
AGGUACUCCUGGUGUCGUCCCUGGAAAAACUCUGGAACCUGGAACUUACACCACAGUAGGCACCACUGCAGCACCACAAGGCCAAGCAACUGGGAGUGUGACAGAAGCCACGACUCACACAGGAGGCAGUGGGACUACCCAGGGAAAACUGCCAGGAGGUAAGCUUUUUUAGGACGAAACCUGGGACUCUCAUCGUUUGUCUAUUUGUGUUGCUACAGUAAUCAAAUGAGUGGGGAGGAAUGUGAAAGAGGGACCUGCAUUUUCGCUGAGGCCAUAUUGUUAUGAUAUGAUAUCAACCGGAUAACUAUUCUGCUUGGGGAUUCCAAGACCUCAGAUGUCUCAGCCAGACUGUCCUCAGUAUUCUGGCUUACGAAGAUGUUCUCUUCCCUGCCCUCAAUGGGUAUAAGUGCACAUUGCCUAUAUCUCAACCUCUCAGUACUUCCAGUCCUCCUUACCCAGCUUACCUUCCCCACUACUUCCCUAAUAAGUACAUUUCUCUCAUUUACUUCUACAUAAUGUUUAUUGUUUAUUUUUAUCUCCCCUUACUAGCAAGCUUCGUGAAGGCAACUGAUUAUUAAAAUGCUCCAAGUUGUAACAAAGAUUAUUACUUACAAAGACUAAAGAUGUUUUAUUUCUUCCCUUAGGCACCUCUGGCACACCAGGUGCAUCUGUCCCUGGAAACAAAAUAGGUACCACUACAGCAGCUUCUCGCACUGCAGUUGAACCUGGGAGUUCAAACACAGAAGCUACAUCGCCCUCUAGAGGCAGUGGAACCACAGGAAUCAAUACAGGGGAAUCUAGUAGCCUAGUCACUGGCAUUCAAACAGGCUCUACUGGAGUGGCCCCUGGCAGGACCGUCUCACCUGGAAGUUCCAACACAGGUAAAUCAGUGAGGAAAUGGGUGCUUACAAUUUCUGUCUUAGGGCUAGCUCUGGAGCAAUAGCAUAUGAUACCUUUUUGUAAGACUUAAAUUUGUAUUGUGUUUUUCUCAUUAUCAUUUAGGCACCUUAAAUCCCCAUCCCCUCCACAAUCACCACACUGACAUCCACUUCCA